UACGAAGGGGGCUAGCGUUGUUCGGAUUUACUGGGCGUAAAGGGCGCGUAGGCGGUGCCAUAAGUCAGGCGUGAAAGCCCCGGGCUCAACCCGGGAAUUGCGCUUGAUACUGUUGCACUUGAAUCCAGGAGAGGAUGGCGGAAUUCCCAGUGUAGAGGUGAAAUUCGUAGAUAUUGGGAAGAACACCAGUGGCGAAGGCGGCCAUCUGGCCUGGAAUUGACGCUGAGGCGCGAAAGCGUGGGGAGCAAACAGG
RNAcentral lists this ribosomal RNA (253 nucleotides) under uncultured bacterium. Its description in RNAcentral is "partial 16S ribosomal RNA". It matches the Rfam family "Bacterial small subunit ribosomal RNA", at positions 524 to 776 of the family's 1533-position model. The record is from RNAcentral.